UACGAAGGGGGCUAGCGCUUUUCGGAAUUACCGGACGUAAAGCGCGUGUAGGCGGGCCGUUAAGUCGGGGGUGAGAGCCCAGAGCUCAACUCUGGAACUGCCUUCGAUACUGGCGGCCUGGCGCAUGAUAGAGGCGAGUGGAACUGCGAGUGUAGAGGUGAAAUUCGUAGAUUUUCGCAGGAACACCAGUUGCGAAGGCGAAUCGCUGGAUCAUUGCUGACGCUGAGACGCGAAAGCGUGGGGAGCAAAUAGG
RNAcentral lists this ribosomal RNA (253 nucleotides) under uncultured bacterium. Its description in RNAcentral is "partial 16S ribosomal RNA". It matches the Rfam family "Bacterial small subunit ribosomal RNA", at positions 524 to 776 of the family's 1533-position model. The record is from RNAcentral.